This is a long non-coding RNA of Motacilla alba alba, 5082 nucleotides long. RefSeq lists it as uncharacterized. Lineage: Eukaryota; Metazoa; Chordata; Aves; Passeriformes; Motacillidae. The transcript is spliced from 2 exons. The record is from RefSeq and is a predicted model, not a curated record.
CCCCCCUGCUGCCGGCGGCGCCCCCGGGCCGCGGUGCAGCGAGCGCGCCCCGCGCUUGUGCGGCCCAUGGCAGCCCCGCCGCUGUGACCCUGGCUCCAAACACCGGCCACCUGCAGCCCAUAGCGAGCGGCUGCGCGCGCAGAAAUGCAUUUAUGCCCACGCAGGAGCUGUGCCUUGUCAGUACCGGAGGGCGUGGCCCGCCCGAGACCGGAGAAAAAGUGAUUUUUGGAAGGCACCACAGUUGGUCAUCUGGUCCAACCUCCCACCUCAAGCAGGGUCAUCCUAGAGCACAGAGCACAGGAUUACGUCCAAGUUCCUGAAUAUCUCCAGUGAGGGGGAUUCCACAACCUCUCUGGACAACCUGUUCCGGCGCUCGGUCACAGAUACAAUAAAGAAGUUCUCCUUCAUGUGCAGGUGGAACUUCCUGUGCAUCACUUUCUGCCCUUUCUUUAUUUGUCCUAUUUCUUGGCACCAUCAAGAAGGGCUCUGCUCCAUCCUCUGACACACUCCCUUGAUACACCAAUAGGCACUGGUGAGAUGAAUGAAGAUUAUAUUCCCGGGAAAAGAAUUCUCUGAGCAUGAGAACAGGCACAGAUUCUCACUGGGGCUUUGACUGGACCAGGUGGGCUCAUUGUUUGGGAAGGACUCACUACAAAGUGCCCUGAUGCUGUAAAAAAUUAAGCACUUUUUCACUGUUUGGGACUUUUUAAAUAUGCCUUUAGAAAGGUGCAAUACUACUGAAAAAUUACAGCCAGAAACAAACGAUGUCCUUUAUGACCACUGAAAGCACCUAAAUCUCUAGAUUUCUGUUCAUCUUCACACCAUGCAUCAGAGCACCACUGGGUUUACAGAAGGGUGGGGCAGAGGCAGUGGUGCAAGCAGAACAUUUCUCUCUCUGCCCCUUUGAGGCUUUCCUGGGGCUGAACUUGGGAAUGGUUUCCCAUGCACCCCAUGUGCCCAGUUCAGUUCUCCCAGCUGGACAGUAAGGCAGGGAGUCUGUGGCACUGCUUGCCUUGGAACGUGCUUGGGUGAAGCACUGGGACUGCUUAGGCUGUCUGACAGCUGCUUAUGCUUCUGGUUCAAGACAGCCAUGAGCAUUUUCCCUCCCUGACUCCUCUCACACUGGCUGCACAGCUUCUGUGGCCACACACACGGUGUCUCUUAGCAUGCAAGUGAAAUGAGGAAAUAAUCUUUUUUUUGCCAGAAAGACAUACAAAUAGAAUACAAAUAGAAUAUAUUUGAUUUUAAUUACUGCAAGACAGGAAUGCUUCCCGUCAAAACUGCCAGACUUCCAUGUAUCUCUCCUCCAUUCUAUUAAUUAUUUACCUUCAGUUUCAAUAAUAGAGUUAAGGGUACUAUAUAUAGCUUCUGCUCUAUCAAUAAAUCAUGCUUGUGUGUCUUCAUAUUUAUCCUAUAAAAUUAUGAGUACCAGCAUGCCUACAUGGUUUUGCUAAGGAAUUCCAGCAACGGAAUUCCCAGCAGUGCAUGUCUUGGAGUCUUUGGUGAUGAACUCAAAUAUUCCUCACUCAAUGAGAGCUAUUUUAUGAGACCUUUUUAUGAGAUUUUUUUUUUUAAUGAGCUCACCAGUCUUUUCACAAAUCCCAACAAUCUCCUUCAUCCCCUUCUUAUAGCUCUGUGCUGAUUUAAAACCCAGUGAGAAUAUUAAACCUACUUGAGCUGCUCCCUUUCCCCUGCCCCCUUCCGGUAGUGGAGGAAACACUAGGAGAGAUAUAAAUUUGAAUCACAGUUUACUGAAAAAUUGCAAUAACCACAACAAUAUUAAUAAAAGAGUGUACAAAAGAGUUUUUUACCCACAAAAGGAUAUUCACUACUGAACAAACAGAAACACUUCUCAAAGACCACAUCCCGUGUGGUUUUCCAAGACUAAGGCAAAAUGAUGGCUGGCCCUGUGCUGGGCAGCAUGGAGUAUAUGGGAAAACAAAAGCAGAAUGCUGGAAAGGCUUGCAAUUUAACUUUCCCCACUCAGAUUGAAAACAGUAGAGAACAGGGACAAGGCAAAACCUGGUGGAACCUGACAGGGCUCUAAGCAGGUCAGAGGACCCUCCUCCUAGGCCCAACUUUGUGGGAGCAGGACUGGAGAGCUUGGUGGUUCCAGCAGCAGCUCCAGUGGCUGCUGUCACAGCAGCUGAAGCCUGGGCUCCACACGGCUCAGCUGGGCACUGCCAUGCUACUGCUUUCUCUCUUUCCUUUUUCUCGGAGCAGCUCCCCAACUCUUGGGCUCACUGGCGCUGUCUUUGAGCACCAAACCAGAAAAGGCACAUGCCCGAGCAUAGCAAAAGAUUCCCACCCUUCUGCUUCCAGCCCCUGACUUCCUCCUGCUCCAACCACAAUCUUGCCAUGACACAAAUGGUAUGGAAUUAUACAGUGCUAGAAAUCCUAUCCCUUUCCUCUAUAACCAUAAUGAACUCAUCACAGUUUGACAUGACUUCUUGACCUAUCAUCAAACCCAAGAAUCCACACGGUAUCAUAAGGUCAAUGCACACAAGCCACCUUCCCCAUCCCAUAAAUCCAAGGCACUUUAGUACAUGUGAUCCACAAUCCAGGCUCAGUCCAUCAAACUAGUCUUUCAGUUGCAUUGCUUGAAACAGUUCUCCCGUUUGCUCAGCAAUCUCCUUCAUCUUCUGACGUGCCUCUUCUAUGGUGGUGGUGGCGUUAUGGACAGUGACACAGCAUUCUCCAGCCGUUAGGUUUAGCAUCCCACACACUCCAUUCUCUUUCAACAACAACAUAUCUAUGGCUAAUCGGUUCUGCAAAGCCAUUUCCGAUGCCUGCGGGGCCUGCGCAUUCGGUUCCCUGAGUGAGCGUCCAGUCCAGUUAUUUAACACAUGGACUUGCCUAGUUAAGUUUUCCAAGACAUACUUGUGCUGUUGGGUAACUCCACUGGACACAAAAAAUGAUUCUAAGUCUAAGGCAACAUUUUGUCCCCAGGUGUAAUAGUCAGGGACUUGAAUGCCCCGAAUCCACCCUUUUGCAUCUGUUGGUUUGUGGAUUUCUCUCUGCACUUUGUUGUUACGAUAAAGUGUAUAAUUGAACGUUUUAGAUGGACACAUGGUAGGAAACCCAAUAGUACACUGGAGUCCAGCCAUAUCAUACAUGUUCAAGUGGGAAUACAUUUUCCCAUCUGAACAUGCCCAUACUGUUCCCCGUGGAGCUGGAUAUUUGGCUUGUGAACACUGAUACAGGUCACCUUGGGGAACUUCCUGUGCUUCGCUACUUGAAUUCCAGACCCUUCUUCGGUCAGGGCCAUGUGUAAUGGGAAUGCCACAGGAUAGUGCUGUCUCUGAAUUUUCAUAAGACCCAUUGCAUCGGGUGUCUUGGUUCAGAUAGCCGUAGUUGGGAUAAUCCCAACAGGUACACAUGUCCCGGAUAAAAGUUCUCAGCUCCGAGAUGUACCAGGUUUCUAUAGGCUCACCUGCUCCUGUGGUACAAUCUAAUAUACGGGAACAAUUCAGAAAGGAGGUCUCUGAUUUACUUUGGGUAAGGCUUCUAUGGUUCCUCACUUUCCAACAGAUGCUCUCUCCAUUAGGUAGUAUGGUCUGAUGGUCCUUACAGUCUGAUUUCUCCACUUCCCAUUCUACUAUCUUCCCUGUGGGCACCCUGGAAGCCCAUUGUAGUGUAGAUAUAGGGUCAAAGAUUUGUUUCAGAGACCAGGCCCACUCAUAAUUUGUUCGGUUAACUUGGUGCACAGUUCCUGGGUUAUCUGGGAUUUGUAUACACCAUCCUGCAUCCCAAUGUAAAUUGUACUCAUGUUCAAAAAACCCACCCUCAGCAGGAGAAUCCCACCACGGUACCACUGUGCAAGGGAUAGAAGUGACAUUUUGCAAUGUCUCAGAAGGGUUGGUGUCUAAUGACCGAUAGCAUGUCUGAUUCCAUAAAUCACUCCAGGAAGAGUCACGUGGGAGCUGGUAAAAGGCGUUCUUGUAUUCUACCCAUGUCCCAUUUGCAUCCCACUGUUGUCCUUUCUGGUCUAGGAACUGGGACUCCACCAUCCCCCAGGUAACAUUUCCUCCUGGUUUUUUAAGGUUAUCCAGUUCUCUCGUUAAUAUGUCCGAAAAAUUUAACCAAAUCAUCAUAAAUCUAAACCCCUCUGAAGCUGAGUUGGGGAGGUUAAUACAUAUUCCUUGAUUGGUAUGAUUCCAAAUAUGCAUAAAUCCUUGUAUCAACUCCCAAGCUAAAUUUGGUUCAGUACUCUGAUUUUCAGUCGCUUGAGACAAAAUCAUACAUCCAUAACAUAAGAGAAAAAACUUUUCCCACACCAUUUUUUUGCUAGUGAAAAGGCAAAAUAGGCUUAGCAAAAUCAAACUUAAAAAUACACAAAAUGAUCCGUCCACUCAACAGAUGAAAUCAUAGGUCCAGCAGUGGAUUUCAGAUAAUCUGUAAAACAUAUACAUGUAUAAAAACAAAACAUGAUUAAAAGGAGGGAACAAUCCACCACCUGGUAGGAGAGUUAAGUGGCUUUUUUAAGGUCGGGGUACCAAUCCCACUCUUGGUAAUUCUGCCAAAACCAGCUGUCCUAACUCAUGGAGAGGAUUUGCAGGGUCUUUAGUUUCUUUUGUUCCAGGGAGCAUGGGUGGGGAUGAAGACAAAAGGCUGUGAGUUAUGGGCCCCCAUUAACUCCGCAGAAGCUACUGACUCCAGGUACCCCAUUUGACACCCUCUCGCCCAUCCGGGUUCCUGAGGCUUCAAGUUCCUCUUCAAGAGUCCAUUGGUGCAUUCAACAACCUCAUUUGCCUGGGGGUACUAUGGAGUGUGAAAGAUACACCAGAUUCCUUCAUCCUGUGCCCACUCUUGAACCACACUGGUAUGGGAGGAAGGAUUGUAGGAGAAUAGAAAUAGUGCUGAAGGCAAUCUCCCCCCUGAGCAGUUGCAGCUGUACUAAUUACCAAAGAGCAGGAACAGCCCUGCCCUUAAUAAGCCACAGCUAUGUCCAAUAAGGAUGGGUGUUAUAAAAGAGUGGGUUAGGUGACCAAGAAAAGAGCUGGAGUUUGUUGGCAGUGCUGUAAGGAGGAAGAGGUGGGUGUGCAAGGGACAGUAAGGGUUACACAGCUGUGCAGAAAAAAA